ACUCCUACGGGAGGCAGCAGUGAGGAAUUUUCCGCAAUGGGCGAAAGCCUGACGGAGCAAUACCGCGUGAAGGAAGAAGGUCCGUGGAUCGUAAUCUUCUUUUCUUAAGGAAGAAUAUAUGACGGUACUUAAGGAAUAAGCACCGGCUAACUCUGUGCCAGCAGCCGCGGUAAUAC
Molecule: ribosomal RNA, 176 nt
Filed under: uncultured bacterium
Lineage: Bacteria
Description: partial 16S ribosomal RNA
Rfam family: Bacterial small subunit ribosomal RNA
Source: RNAcentral